UCGGCUUGGGCGGCGGGCUACACAUGCAGUCGAGCGGCAGCGACUUAACUGAACCUUCGGGGAACGUUAAGGGCGGCGAGCGGCGGACGGGUGAGUAAUGCCUGGGAAUAUGCCCUGAUGUGGGGGAUAACUAUUGGAAACGAUAGCUAAUACCGCAUAAUCUCUUCGGAGCAAAGAGGGGGACCUUCGGGCCUCUCGCGUCAGGAUUAGCCCAGGUGGGAUUAGCUUGUUGGUGAGGUAAUGGCUCACCAAGGCAACGAUCCCUAGCUGGUCUGAGAGGAUGAUCAGCCACACUGGAACUGAGACACGGUCCAGACUCCUACGGGAGGCAGCAGUGGGGAAUAUUGCACAAUGGGGGAAACCCUGAUGCAGCCAUGCCGCGUGUAUGAAGAAGGCCUUCGGGUUGUAAAGUACUUUCAGUAGGGAGGAAGGCAGUGUCGUUAAUAGCGGCAUUGUUUGACGUUACCUACAGAAGAAGCACCGGCUAACUCCGUGCCAGCAGCCGCGGUAAUACGGAGGGUGCGAGCGUUAAUCGGAAUUACUGGGCGUAAAGCGCAUGCAGGCGGUCUGUUAAGCAAGAUGUGAAAGCCCGGGGCUCAACCUCGGAACAGCAUUUUGAACUGGCAGACUAGAGUCUUGUAGAGGGGGGUAGAAUUUCAGGUGUAGCGGUGAAAUGCGUAGAGAUCUGAAGGAAUACCGGUGGCGAAGGCGGCCCCCUGGACAAAGACUGACGCUCAGAUGCGAAAGCGUGGGGAGCAAACAGGAUUAGAUACCCUGGUAGUCCACGCCGUAAACGAUGUCUACUUGGAGGUUGUGGCCUUGAGCCGUGGCUUUCGGAGCUAACGCGUUAAGUAGACCGCCUGGGGAGUACGGUCGCAAGAUUAAAACUCAAAUGAAUUGACGGGGGCCCGCACAGCGGGUGGAGCAUGGUGGUUUAAUUUCGAUGCAACGCGAGACCUUAUCCUACUCUUGACAUCCAGAGAACUUUCCAGAGAUGGAUUGUGCCUUCGGGAACCUCUGAGACAGGUGCCUGCAUGGCCUGUCGUCAGCUCAUGUUGUGAAUGUGGGUAAGGUCCCGCACGAGCGCCAUCCCUUAUCUUGUUGCCAGCACUUCCGUGCACCUCCAGGGAGACUGCCGUGAUACGUAGAACGGGUGGGACCACGUCAGUCAUCAUGGGCUACCGGAUAGCUAACACACGAGUGCUAUCAAUGAUGAGGCAU
This 1221-nucleotide ribosomal RNA is filed under the name Photobacterium leiognathi. Its description in RNAcentral is "partial 16S ribosomal RNA". It matches the Rfam family "Bacterial small subunit ribosomal RNA", at positions 30 to 1242 of the family's 1533-position model. Lineage: Bacteria; Pseudomonadati; Pseudomonadota; Gammaproteobacteria; Vibrionales; Vibrionaceae. The record is from RNAcentral.